GGGGAAAUGGGCCAGUCCUGAUGCAGCCCGCCGCGUGUAUGAUGAAGGCCUUCGGGUUGUAAAGCUCUUUCAUCGGGGAGGAAGGUGUUGUGGUUAUAACCACAGCACUUGACCUUACCCUCACAAAAAGCCCCGGCUUACUCCAUGCCCGCCGCCGCGAUAAU
This 164-nucleotide ribosomal RNA is filed under the name uncultured Enterobacter sp. RNAcentral describes it as "partial 16S ribosomal RNA". It matches the Rfam family "Bacterial small subunit ribosomal RNA", at positions 365 to 524 of the family's 1533-position model. The record is from RNAcentral. Lineage: Bacteria; Pseudomonadati; Pseudomonadota; Gammaproteobacteria; Enterobacterales; Enterobacteriaceae.